UACAGAGGGUGCAAGCGUUGCUCGGAAUCAUUGGGCGUAAAGGGCAAGUAGGUGGUCUUGUUUGUCUGGGGUGAAAUCCUUGAGCUUAACUCAAGAAGUGCCCUAGAAACGGCAAGACUCGAGUCCUGGAGAGGGUGGUGGAAUUCCCGGUGUAGCGGUGAAAUGCGUAGAGAUGGGGGAGAACACUCGUGGCGAAGGCGGCCAGCUAGACCAGUUCUGACACUGAGGCGCGACAGCGUGGGGAGCAAACAGG
Molecule: ribosomal RNA, 253 nt
Filed under: uncultured bacterium
Lineage: Bacteria
Description: partial 16S ribosomal RNA
Rfam family: Bacterial small subunit ribosomal RNA
Source: RNAcentral